UACGUAGGGGGCGAGCGUUGUCCGGAUUUAUUGGGCGUAAAGAGCUCGUAGGCGGUUCGAUAAGUCGGAUGUGAAAUCUCCACGCUCAACGUGGAGGGGCCAUUCGAUACUGUCGUGACUCGAGUCCGGUAGGGGAGUGUGGAAUUCCCGGUGUAGCGGUGAAAUGCGCAGAUAUCAGGAAGAACACCCGUGGCUAAGGCGGUUCUCUAGUACGGUACUGACGCUGAGACGCGAAAGCGUGGGGAGCGAACAGG
This 254-nucleotide ribosomal RNA is filed under the name uncultured bacterium. Its description in RNAcentral is "partial 16S ribosomal RNA". It matches the Rfam family "Bacterial small subunit ribosomal RNA", at positions 524 to 776 of the family's 1533-position model. The record is from RNAcentral.